GAUGAACGCUAGCUACAGGCUUAACACAUGCAGGUCGAGGGGCAGCAUGACCUAGCAAUAGGUUGAUGGCGACCGGCGCACGGGUGAGUAACACGUAUCCAACCUGCCGAUUAUUCCGGGAUAGCCUUUCGAAAGAAAGAUUAAUACUGGAUAGCAUAACGAGAAGGCAUCUUCUUGUUAUUAAAGAAUUUCGAUAAUCGAUGGGGAUGCGUUCCAUUAGUUUGUUGGCGGGGUAACGGCCCACCAAGACAUCGAUGGAUAGGGGUUCUGAGAGGAAGGUCCCCCACAUUGGAACUGAGACACGGUCCAAACUCCUACGGGAGGCAGCAGUGAGGAAUAUUGGUCAAUGGACGAGAGUCUGAACCAGCCAAGUAGCGUGAAGGAUGACUGCCCUAUGGGUUGUAAACUUCUUUUAUAUGGGAAUAAAGUGGGCCACGUGUGGCUUUUUGUAUGUACCAUACGAAUAAGGAUCGGCUAACUCCGUG
RNAcentral lists this ribosomal RNA (485 nucleotides) under uncultured bacterium. RNAcentral's name for it is "partial 16S ribosomal RNA". It matches the Rfam family "Bacterial small subunit ribosomal RNA", at positions 28 to 507 of the family's 1533-position model. The record is from RNAcentral.